Molecule: transfer RNA, 58 nt
Filed under: Cavia porcellus (domestic guinea pig)
Lineage: Eukaryota; Metazoa; Chordata; Mammalia; Rodentia; Caviidae
Rfam family: tRNA
About the family: Transfer RNA (tRNA) molecules are approximately 80 nucleotides in length. Their secondary structure includes four short double-helical elements and three loops (D, anti-codon, and T loops).
Source: Rfam by way of RNAcentral
UAGCUCAGCGGCAUAAGCGCCUGCCUGGCAAGCACUAGGUUGCAGGUUCAAUUCCUGC